Molecule: long non-coding RNA, 8698 nt
Filed under: Solanum tuberosum (potato)
Lineage: Eukaryota; Viridiplantae; Streptophyta; Magnoliopsida; Solanales; Solanaceae
Description: long non-coding RNA (STUB_LNC006421)
Source: RNAcentral
UUUUUUUUUAUAUGUGAAAUGCAAUUCACAACAGUUUUAUUAUUUAUUUUUGGUGUUAUUUUGUUUUGAUAUGUGAAAUUCCUAUAUAUUAAUAAAGGCAUUAUAUAAUGAAGAGUGAAGUACUUUGUUAAAUAUACUUUAAUAAUAAUAUAUCUGCAAAUGUGACAUUAGUUUUGUUACAUAGUUUGCAAGUAUGCCAAUUUUGAGGGUUUUCUCCUUAUUUGAUGGUUUGGAAUUUAAUUUCCUCGAUCCUAAACCUAAAUUUGACUUGACAUUGUUAGUUUUCUCAUCUACAUGCAUCUCAGUUUGUAAGCAGAUACAUGAUGCAAUAUAUUAGCAUUUAUUUAAGGAUACAAGUAAUGUAAUUUUAGGUGUAUAUUUUCGUGUUUUUCUAACUUAUCUCUUAUCAUUCACCACUAUAUGAAUAUAUCAAACACCUAUAUAGGUAAAAUUAGCAAUCAAGUCAUAAUAUCUAACAUAAUUAGUCAAAACAACAACACUUUAAAAUAUUUAUUUAAAAUGUCAGAAUAGCAAUAUUUUAGAAAAUAAUUUGUAUUCAGAUUUUAUUAUUUAAAUUUCCUUUUAUUUAUCAAAACAGUCCUAUAUUGGACCAAAUUCUAAACCAAUACCCGUUUAAAAAGAAAAAAGAAAAAAACAACUACACCACUACUCAUUACCCUUAUUUCCCCACCUUUCACGUUUACCAGCUUCUCUUUCUUCAAGGUUCUCACAAAUUGUUCAACAAAAUCUCUAUUUUAAUUCAAGAAUUUCUCGAUUGUUAAACAAAAUCUCUAUAUUAAUUCAAAAAAAUUCUCGAUUGGCAAAGGUAAUUUCCAUUAUUUACUGACAUUUAUUUUGAUUUGCUUUUUUAAAAUGACCGAUUAUGAUGUAUAUUACGGAUUUUCAGUCAAUUUUUUCAAUUUUUAUGUGAUUUUGUUUGGAUAUUCAUCAAAUAUUGAUGUUAUAAAUUACAAAAUUACAAUAUAUUCAUGAGUAUAUUAUACAGGUCUUAAUCAUGACUGUAUUAGUAAGACAUUUUUUGUAUUUUAAUCAUAACUGUAUUAGUAAGACAUUUUUUGUAUUUUAUUUUUGUAAGACAUUUUUUGUAUUCAUGUGUAUACUCUCUGCAGUUUUAAUCAUAACUGUAUUAGGAAGACAUAUUUUUGUAUUUUAUUUUGUUAAAGCAAUAUAAGUUUGAUGAAAACAUAAUAUAUAAAAUUGUGAUGAAUACAUUAUAAGAAGGGAAAUACAAACUUAUUUGCUAUUCAUUUGGCAUUUGGAAUACAAAAUGAUAUUGAAAUACAUCCUAAUUUUUGAAAUACAAACUAAUAUUGAAAUACAUCCUGAUUUUUGGAAUAUAAACUGAUCCAGAGAAAUAGUAACUACAAUUUUAAAGUGAAAUAAUAAUAAUAUAACAAGACUGGAUAUUGAAAUAUAAAUACAAUUUAGUUUGAAUAUAACUUAUUCUAUGUUUUAUGUUUUCACCAAAAAUGUAUUUCAAUAUAAUUUUGUUUUACUACUAAUUUGUAUUUAUAUUUUUUUUUCUUAAACUAGAAUGCCAAAAGAGUUGUAUUCAUUAUAAUUCUAUACCAACAUUUUUUUGUAUUUUAAGUUAUACAUAUCUUUAGGUAUAUAGAUUGUAUUCCAUUUUUUAUAUAAUUAAAUUUGUGAUUCAUAUAAUUUUUCGAUUACACUUUUAAGUAAUUACACGUUAAAUACACAAAAAUAAAACAAAUAAAUUCAUAACAUGAAUAUGAAUACAUUUCGGUUGAACACAUAUUCAAAGAAUUCCAAAACAAGUAAAUAUAUAAAAAUAGAGGGCAUUAGAAAUUGGGAAACAAUUCCACUCUAAUAAGAUAUAAAAUUCAAGCAUCAUUAACUAAACAAUACACGAUCCAUUCCUACACGAACGCCUAUUGUGCCCCUUAAAUCCACAAGUACUGCAAGAAUUCUUGCUCUUCUUCCCAUAUAGCUCGUUGUACACCUUGUCACGAUAUUUCUGGGAUGGCCUUAGCUUUUUGUGCUUUGGAGGCCGCACUAUGUCGUCCUUAAUAUACCCAGGUACAUUCCACUCGUUUUGAUUAGGUAAGGGAGUAAUUGGAAUGAUGUAUGUAUCCAACAAGUAAUUACACGUUAAAUACACAAAAAUAAAAUAAACUAAUUACAUAAAUGAAAUGUGCGCUCAAACAUCACUAGCUUCAAAAAGAAAAUAUAUAGAACAUGCACUCAAUACAUACUGAUCUGUAUUUACAUACAAAGAUUUCACCUUUUAGCUCAACUACAACAAAUUGAAUCCAAUAUUUAAUUGUAUCCAGAACUUACUACAAGGCAACAAAUAUUGGUAUACAAUUCUUAAUUACUUUAUGAUUUUUAAUCCCUAAUUGUACUCUAUUCAGUAUAUCACAGAAUUUUUAUGACUAUAUCCCUAUACUGUUCUAUUUACAUUAACUUAAUGGGAUACAAAAUAUUGUCUGCAUUAAAAAAAAAACAGCUUCCAAACUAAAAAAAACACACAAUUUCAUUCGUUCUACAUCAUAAUUUGGAUACAAAACAUCCAAAAAAAUGGGAUACGAAAAUCUCAUAUUGUUACUAUUUACAUUAACAUAAUGGGAUACAAAAAUAUUGUAUGCAUUCAAAUAAAAAGAAAACAGCUACGAAACUUUUUUAAAAAAGCUAAAAAAUCAAACCAUACAAAGAUUUCACCGAUUUCAUCAGGAAAAAAAAAUCAACCCACUAUUAUAGUCGAGAUAUAAGAAUAUAUCAUCCAAACAAAUACAAUAAUCGACAAAAACAAAAAUUCUUGAUGUCAAAAUUUCUUGAAUUCAAUGGAACUGACGAAAUUAUAGUCGUGAAUUUUGAAAACCUCUGUUUCAAGAAUAUGCCAAAUUCAACUCGAAGAAGCUUUGAAAAUUAUCAAUUGAAUGAUUCGGAAGACAACUAUUUUUUGCAAAUUUUUUUUGGAAUUCUUAAGAACAAGGCAAAAAAACGCUCCAAAGAAAAAAUGGCAACAUAUGCUCUUUCAAAAUGUAACUGAUUUAUAUUUAAAAUCUUUUUCCUUUCUGAAAUUUUCUGUUCCAUGAUUUUCUCUAUUCUGUUAUUAAUUAUUUGUAUUCUUUCAAAUUAGUUUAAAUAAAAGAAAUACAUAACUCAUUCCUUAACAAACUAAAAUAUUGUCAUUUUAAAUAAAUAGUGAAACUAUUGCUAAGGAGUCCCACUAAAAGCUAAAAUAUUGUUGUUUUUAAUAAUUUUUCCAAAAAUAUAUAAUGUUGGGCCCGUGGGCCUCGGCCAUUUAUCAAUAUUCACUACUAAAAAGUGCUUCCUUAAGAACAUAUUUGUGACAAAAAUGUUUUAAUAGCUGUAUAUUUUGAGGUGAUAUUUUAAAAGUACAAAAAUUGAAAAUUAACCAAACUGUAUCGAUACCGAAGAAAAAUCGAUAUGAUCUUAAGAUAAAAAAAAAUUAAAAUCUAAUUUUAAUUAUACAUUAUAAAUACCCAAAAAAAUGGAAUGAUAUAUUUUUUAGAAAAUAACAGAUUCAACCGUCUCAGACACCCCUAAUGUUUAUUCAUUAAUAACCGGCGCCUGGCGGUAAAAGUGAUUGAUCAUGAUGGCAGUACAGUAGUUGCUAGACUAGAGUAGUGGUAAAGAUCAGUUUCACAGGAUAUAUAAAUUAAUAACUUAGUUGUUUUAGAUCCUAUAUAAGAUCUCAAUGAAUCAGACAUAUCUGAUACAAAUAAAUGGUUGUACAACAAUAAAAAAAAAGGGCACUAAAGAUGAAUUGAGAUCUAAACUACAAUAAGAUUCAAAUCUCUAUUAAACAAAAACAAAUAUGACUAGAGAAUAAAAGGUUCAUAUUUCAACUAGACAAACUGAUCACCAGUUCCUCGAAAUAGUAUCAAAUAUCUUAGAGAUAUCCAACAAAAAAGGUCUUUGAAAUAUUUUGUAUCCCAUGACACUAUUAGCUAAAAUUUAAAAUUGGGAAUUUCAAAACAUUACAAUUUGCCUAAUUUGAAAACUAUAUAAUACUUGUUGAAGAAGAAGGAAGUUGGCGAUUGGAACGUGCCAAAGGAACAGCUCCAAUGAAGCUCACUAACGUGUCUACAUUGAAGUGUUGAAGAUGAAGGAAGCUGAUGAUUGGAACAUGUCAAAGGAACAGGUCCAACGAAGUUGACUGACGAGUUUACAUUAUUGUUGUAGAAUUAGAGUCGCACUAGGAUUAAACUAUUUAUAUUAAUUAGGAUUAUAUUAUGACUAGGAUUAUAUUACGAUUAGGAUUAGAUUAUGACUAGAAUUAUAUUAUGACUAUGAUUAGAUUAUUUAUAAUUGCAUUAUUAUUAUUACAGUAGUAAUAAGUAUUGUAGUAGGAUUCUAAGUAUAGUUAACUUAGGACUACAAUUCUCUCCCUAUGUAAGGAGUAUGUGCUUAACAAUUUUAAUCAUCAAUACAAUCCUUGAGUUCUCUAAUCCUAGACGUGAGAUUUCUACAUGGUAUCAGAGCAUAAAAGCUCCUCCGCUCUCUGAGUAUUGAUAAAAAAAACACACACACACGUUGCAAUGACCACUUCUACCAAAAAUAUGUUGACCUCCUUACUUCACCAACUCAUUGUCACUUGCUCCAUUAAACUUAAGCCAGCAAACUACCUCAUAAAGAGGAUACACAUAUCCCAAUCGAUUCAAAUCACAUAGAAUGAACCAAGUAAAAGUAGUUGUUCCACUGGACAGACUGUCGGGAAAGUUGUAGCGGUUGAGAAAGAUGCAAAGGAUAGUGGCACCAUUGAUGAUUGGAAGGAGAAAGAUAUGUUGCUAAGGAGUUGGAUCUCAGGCACCUUGACCAAAGAAAGCAUGUACCUAACUGUGGGCUGCUCAACUGCCAAGGAGAUGUGGGAAUGUUUGGAAGAAACUUAUCUUCAAGCAACAAAAGAAAAAAAGUUUCAGCUUAAACAACUACAAAGUGUUAGGCUAGGAACCAAAAAUAUAGAUGAAUACAUCAAGGAAUUUAAAGGCAUAUGUGAAAAGUCAUGCCCCAAAAUCAUGUUAGGCAGGAGAGGAGGAAACAACAACAUCACCUCCAGAGAAACAUGUUUCAAACCUGCUGGACAGGGAACAGGUUCUCAGAACAGUCAAUAUGGACCAGGUUCUCUGAACAAUAAAAGUCUCCAAAGUGAAAUUAAGGAGAGGAAUAAUAUUGAAUCAUGUCAAAUUUGUGGUAGGAAUAAUCAUACUGUUCUUAAGUGUUUUUACUGGUGGAACUACUCCUAUCAAUCUGCAGAUGAACUAUCACAAGCAACGACUAGACAUCACAUUCAUACCGAAGCAUUGACAAAACAAGUUUUUGCUGGGUAUUCAAAGUUUUUUUUUGCUGGAUAUUCGAAGCAAGCUAUGAGUAACUGUUCCUCUACUCACUAGCUUGAGGGGAAGUGUUGAAGAAAAAGGAAGUUGGCGAUUGGAACAUGUCAAAGGAACAACUCCAACGAAGUUGACUGACGUGUCUACAUCGAAGUGUUGAAGAUGAAGGAAGCUGAUGAUUGGAACAUGUCAAAGGAAUAGGUCCAACGUAACAAAUCUGACUGAUGAGUUUACACCACUGCUGUAGAAUUAGAGUCGCACUAAGAUUAGACUACUUAUAUUAAUUAGGAUUAUAUUACGACUAGGAUUAGAUUACGAUUAGGAUUAGAUUAUGACUAGAAUUAUAUUAUGACUAUGAUUAGAUUAUUUAUAAUUGCAUUAUUAUUCUUACAGUAGUAAUAGGUAUUGUAGUAGGACUCUAAGUAUAGUUAACUUAGGACUCUACAAUUCUCUCCCUAUAUAAGGAGUAUGUGCUUAACAAUUUUAAUCAUCAAUACAAUCCUUGAUUUCUCUAAUCCUAGACGUGAGAUUUCUACAAAACUGAGGUACAAGAUGAACACCUUGGAGAAAGUAUUGAAGUUAUUUCAAAUCUAUCAUCUUCAAGGGGUAAUUUUUUGUCCAAAUUAUAGUGCACGUGGGGUAACAAGAAUCACAAAAUUAGAUAUCUUAGGUAAUCAUUUUUAAAAAUAGAUCUAAAGCUAUCUACUGGCUACCAUGCUCCAAAACAAUUGAACGGUGCACUUAGUUAAAUGAUAAGUUACUUAGACAAAGAAAUCGAUAUCAAAUCGUACAUGCAGGACCACUUAGGCUGCAUCUACAUAAUUAAAAACAUUGACAUAAAUAUGAAUAUCAGUAAUUUGGAGUUUAGCAUAAUCUUUCAAUAAUUCAAGUAGGUCCUAAAUUUAAUAAGUUUGUAAUCUUAUCAAACUCUAUUAUUCUCGUCUACCUAAACGGACCACCUUUAAUUUACUUCCCAAAAAAUGAAGAACAAAACUCCUUCUUUGACUCAAGUAGGCUGCCCUUCUUCCUACAUCAAUCCUUACAUCUGCCUUUACGAUUUAUCAUUAGGUAUGACAAUGAGGCAGUGUGAGUGUGGGGUGGGGUGGUGUGGGUUUAGACAUAUACAGGUCGAGGCAGGUUUAGAUAUAUGCGGGUGUGGGGUGGGGUUGUAUGGGUUUAGACAUAUACGGGUCGGGGCAGGUUUAGAUAUAUGCGGGUGUGGGGUGGGGUUGUAUGGGUUUAGACAUAUACGGGUCGGGGCAGGUUUAGAUAUAUGCGGGUGUGGGGUGGGGUUGUAUGGGUUUAGACAUAUACGGGUCGGGGCAGGUUUAGAUAUAUGCGGGUGUGAAGCGGGGCAGGUGCGGGUGCAGGUAGGGUUAGGAAUUUCCUCUUCUCAAAUAGGCACUUGUUUUGUGUUUGAUGAUAUGUUUCAGUUAAGGGUUAAGGGUGUGCAUCGGUCGGUUUGUUCCAGUUUUAUGUAUUAUGGGUUCGAUUUAUCAGUUUUUGAUUUUUAAAUAGGUUAAAAAAUAUUUUUUUAUCAGUUUUCGGUUAUCCUUAACGGUUCGAUUUCGAUUUAAUCAAUAAGAAAAUGCUGAUAAAAUAUUUGUAUGGCUUCUCCAACAAUUUGACAACAAGACAAUAAUGUAACUUUAUAAAUGCUCAUAAAAGAGAAAUAAUAAUAAGUAACAUGAAACGAAUUAUACAAACGUAACAUAAAGAAAACUUAAGAGGAAUAGGGUUCUUACUUUAGGUUUUGACAUUUUGUAUAAUGUAAAGUCGUGAACUCAAAAUAAACUGUGAAGUGUGAAUUGAGAGCUAAAUUGCAAAGAUUUUAACUAGUAAGGUAUUGAGAUUAAUAUUUAAUAUUACUGUAUCGACUAUGGGUAAAGUAGUACAUUACUAUAGUCUUAAUGUGUUAUCGAUUUACCCAAUAACCUAAUAUUUAAAAAUCAAAAUCAAAUCGAUAAGCCGAUAAUUUUUUUUAUAAAAUCAUUAACCUAAUAACUCAAUAGCAAUAAACUAAACAGCACUUUUUUUCAAUUCGAUUUAUCCAUCGGUUCAAUUUUUACACACUCCUAUGUUUCACCUAUUUGCACAAUGUCAAAAUUGAAUAGAAAGUAUUUAUCUGUACAUCCUAAUUAAGUAGAACAGAAUAAACGUAAAAUGCAAUAUAAAAAAAGUUCACACUUGAAGGGGUACAAGAUGAGAAGACAAUGUUAAAUUAGGUCUUAGGCCUAACUCACACCCCAAAAGCUAGCUCAAAGGGAGGAGGAUUGCUCAAGCCUUAUAAGGAGUCCACUCAUCUCAUUAACCAUCGAUGUGGGACUUUUGUCAUUCUUUAACACCCCACAUCACGCCCACUGCUUAGCAUCUUGUGCGUGGGCAAUUUUGAUUUUGGGGGCCCCAACAUCAGGUGAGAUGGGCCCUGCUCUGAUACCAUGUUAAAUUAGGUCUUGGGCUUAAUUCACACCCCAAAAGCUAGCUCAAAAGGAGGAGGAUUGUCCAAGCCUUAUAAGGAGUCCACCCAUCUCAUUAACCAUCGAUGUGUAUAUGGAGUUUGUUUAUAUUUUAGUCCCUAAAUUGCAAUUUCGCUUUAGUCCCUCAAUCACGUUGAGCCGUCCCUGCCAGUGUAUUUAUUAUUCAUAUUGUUCAUUUGGCCUACUAAGAUAGUAAAAAUUCUCAAUACUGCAACCAGUAUCCUGAAUUUCUGUCCUAAGUUGUAACAACCAGGAUCCUUUCAAACUAUAUAUGCAGGACCACUUAAUUAAAAACAUUGACAUAAAUAUGAAUAUCAAUAAUUUGGAGUAGCACCAUCGAUCUUUCAAUUAUUCAAGUAGGACCUAAAUUGAAUAUGUUUGUAUUCUAUCAAACUCCUCCGUCUACCUAAAGGGACCGCCAUUACUUCCCAAAAAAAUCAACAACAAAAUUCCAUACAUCUACCAUUAUGAUUAAUCAGCAAAAUUUCCUUCCUCUUCUAAAAUUAAUCACACACAAUCCUUAACAACUGCGAUAAAUGGAAGAUAUAUAUUUGGACAUCCUAAUUAGUAGAACAGAAUAAAAGUAAAAUUGAAUAUGAGAAAAUUCACACUUGAAUGAGAGAAGACAUGAAUAGCAUCAACUUUGACACAGACAAAAAGGAAAAGCAUCUGGAUGGAUCCCGAGAUUAUUGGUAGCAAAUAAUUUAAAACAGGGGAAUCGGAUAGCAGCACACUUAACAGUUGACACCAUUCUACAACUACUAUCAAAAACUGAUGUACAAGAUGAACACCAUGUUUCAAAUAUAUCAUGAUCAAUUGCCAACGAAAGUUGAAAAUGCCUUCUUCACAUUCUUAGAAUUGACUCGAAAACGCUUUGAA